GUCCUACGGGGGGCAGCAGUGAGGAAUAUUGGUCAAUGGCCGAGAGGCUGAACCAGCCAAGUCGCGUGAGGGAUGACGGCCCUACGGGUUGUAAACCUCUUUUGUCGGGGAGCAAGACCCGCCUCGUGCAGGCGGAGCGAGAGUACCCGAAGAAAAAGCAUCGGCUAACUCCGUGCCAGCAGCCGCGGUAAUACGGAGGUGGCAAGCGUUGUCCGGAUUUAUUGGGCGUGAAGCGAGUGCAGGCGGUUCAAUAAGUCUGAUGUGAAAGCCUUCGGCUCAACCGGAGAAUUG
Molecule: ribosomal RNA, 291 nt
Filed under: uncultured bacterium
Lineage: Bacteria
Description: partial 16S ribosomal RNA
Rfam family: Bacterial small subunit ribosomal RNA
Source: RNAcentral